GGUGGGUAACGGCCCACCAAGCCUUCGAUGGAUAGGGGUUCUGAGAGGAAGGUCCCCCACAUUGGAACUGAGACACGGUCCAAACUCCUACGGGAGGCAGCAUG
RNAcentral lists this ribosomal RNA (104 nucleotides) under uncultured bacterium. Its description in RNAcentral is "partial 16S ribosomal RNA". It matches the Rfam family "Bacterial small subunit ribosomal RNA", at positions 251 to 353 of the family's 1533-position model. The record is from RNAcentral.